This is a transfer RNA of 83 nucleotides. It matches the Rfam family "tRNA". From Rfam's summary of the family: Transfer RNA (tRNA) molecules are approximately 80 nucleotides in length. Their secondary structure includes four short double-helical elements and three loops (D, anti-codon, and T loops).
GGGUCCGUAGUCUAGCGGUAGGACAUGAAACCUAAAGCUGCCCUGACGCGGCAGUAACUCCGGUUCAAAUCCGGACGGACCCA